Cavia porcellus (domestic guinea pig) is the source of this 1201-nucleotide long non-coding RNA. RefSeq lists it as uncharacterized. Lineage: Eukaryota; Metazoa; Chordata; Mammalia; Rodentia; Caviidae. The transcript is spliced from 3 exons. The record is from RefSeq and is a predicted model, not a curated record.
AAACCUCGAUGUCCAGGCACAAGCGCCAGACUCUUCCGGAGCCAGCAGUCAUAGCCCCGGGCAAGGCCACACCUCCUGCGAUCCUGGCGGACAUGCCUUUACUAAGUGGAGCUGCAAAAGCUGCCAGGCUUGGCUCAAGCUCACAGACUUGAAUGCCCCAAACCCCAACUCCAGGUGACCAUCGAAGUGGUGGAGGACCCCCAGGCCGAGGUGGAGGUGGACCUGCUGGCUGAGCCCAGCAUUCGCUGGCCCCUGGGCGCUCCUAGGUGGCUGCCCACCAAAGACCUCUUCUAGCCCCUCUUCUGGGGCUACCCGGAGGGCGAAGAGGGGGCCACUGGCCUCAAGGGUGGAGCCCCAGGGGAACAGGAAGAGAGGGAAGGAGGAGAGGAGCAGCAUCUUGCAGAGCACAGGGAGCCUGAGGACCAGAAGGGCAAUGAAGAUGAAGAGGAGCAGAAGGCGCCAUGGUCCAGUGGGGCCACAGACGGCUGGGACAAGGGCUGGCUGGGACCCGGGGAUUGGGCCUUCAAGGAGCCAGACAGCUGUGAAAAAGACGUAACAACACAGAUUAUUCAGGUGCAUGCCUGUAAUCCCAAGACUCAGGAGGCUGAGGCUGGAGGAUCGCUGUGAGUUUGAGGUCAGCCUGUGCUGCAAAGCAAGUUCAAGGCCAGCCUGAACUGUACAACAAAACCUUGUCUCAAAAAAAACAAAAGAGAGAGACAGAGACAGAGACAGAAUAAAGGAAAAGAAAAAAACACAAAAUACUCCCCAAGGCCCGUCGGUCUUCCACAGAGGCAAGUUUUGUCCUACUGUGAAGGGUCUGAUUUGGCCCAGAUGCAGCCAUGUUUUGCACACUUUCCCUGAACUUUGCAUUCGUGUCUUUGGACUGAGGUGCCUGUGAUUAAGAACAAGUUGUGACAAGUUCUUCCUAGUUUUCCAACAUAAUGCAAAGAAUUUUCACGACAUUCAGUUUGCCUCCCAUUCAUUUUCCUAAGCUUGGUGCCCAUAUGCUGUGGUCAGCCUGGAAACUGGGGGCGAGCCAGGACAUCAGCCCUUUGGGGUCCACUAAUGGCCCUGCUCAGUCUGAGAGCUGAGGGCCCAGGUGCAGUGUAUUUGAGUCUCCUCACAUAGGACUAGGUCCCUAACAUAGGCAACAGAGAUACUCAUAAGCCCAGUGCCAGAGAAGUAUUGUCACCCCAUGUUU